Molecule: small RNA, 554 nt
Filed under: Pongo abelii (Sumatran orangutan)
Lineage: Eukaryota; Metazoa; Chordata; Mammalia; Primates; Hominidae
Description: retained intron
Source: RNAcentral
AGCAGCUCGGGCGGCGGGAGGAGUGGCAGCGGCAAGGCAGCCCAGUUUCGCGAAGGCUCUCGGCGCGCCGCGGCCCGCAGGCAACCGGCACGCACCUUCCCCGCCGCCAGGAUGCCCAAGAGGAAGGUCAGCUCCGCCGAAGGCGCCGCCAAGGAAGAGGUGAGUGCGGGGCCUUCUGCGGGGGGUGGUGGGUUUCCCGUGAGCCGCUGACCUGCCUUCUCUUUUCGCUGACUCUCCUUUUUCUUUCUCCAAGCCCAAGAGGAGAUCGGCGCGGUUGUCAGCUAAACCUCCUGCAAAAGUGGAAGCGAAGCCGAAGAAGGCAGCAGCGAAGGUAGGCCUCGAAACGCGCAUUGGGAUGCAGCGGGGCCUUAGGCUACACUGCUUCUUAAUGCGGAACUUUCCAUUUUGAUUAGCUAUUUGAGCUUUAUUUAUACUUGAAUAAUUACGGUAAAUUUUCUUCUGGUCGAGGCAAAAUGUAAUGGAUAUAUUCAUCCUGGUUUAUAGGACUAUAUCACACUAAUGCUGCUGCAGAUGUCAGGAGACUUGGGACGACA